Molecule: ribosomal RNA, 439 nt
Filed under: uncultured soil bacterium
Lineage: Bacteria
Description: bacterial SSU rRNA
Rfam family: Bacterial small subunit ribosomal RNA
Source: RNAcentral
AGAUUGAACGCUAGCGGGAUGCUUUACACAUGCAAGUCGAACGGCAGCGCGGACUUCGGUCUGGCGGCGAGUGGCGAACGGGUGAGUAAUAUAUCGGAACGUGCCCAGUAGCGGGGGAUAACUACGCGAAAGCGUGGCUAAUACCGCAUACGCCCUACGGGGGAAAGGGGGGGAUCGCAAGACCUCUCACUAUUGGAGCGGCCGAUAUCAGAUUAGCUAGUUGGUGAGGUAAAGGCUCACCAAGGCGACGAUCUGUAGCUGGUUUGAGAGGACGACCAGCCACACUGGGACUGAGACACGGCCCAGACUCCUACGGGAGCAGCAGGUGGGAAUUUUGGACAAGUGGGGGAAACCUGAUCCAGCCACGUCCGCGUGUGCGAUGGAAGGCCGUUCGGGUUAGUAAGGUACUACGUUUGGUACCGAGGGAAGAACGGACGUA